Molecule: ribosomal RNA, 500 nt
Filed under: uncultured bacterium
Lineage: Bacteria
Description: bacterial SSU rRNA
Rfam family: Bacterial small subunit ribosomal RNA
Source: RNAcentral
UAGUCCACGCUGUAAACGAUGUCUACUUGGAGGUUGUUGUCUUGAAUGAUGGCUUUCGGAGCUAACGCGUUAAGUAGACCGCCUGGGGAGUACGGCCGCAAGGUUAAAACUCAAAUGAAUUGACGGGGGCCCGCACAAGCGGUGGAGCAUGUGGUUUAAUUCGAUGCAACGCGAAGAACCUUACCUACUCUUGACAUCUACAGAAGCUUGCAGAGAUGCGAGUGUGCCUUCGGGAACUGUAAGACAGGUGCUGCAUGGCUGUCGUCAGCUCGUGUUGUGAAAUGUUGGGUUAAGUCCCGCAACGAGCGCAACCCUUAUCCUUGUUUGCCAGCACAUAAUGGUGGGAACUCCAGGGAGACUGCCGGUGAUAAACCGGAGGAAGGUAAGGAUGACGUCAAGUCAGCAUGCCCCUUAUGCUCUGGGCUACACACGUGCUACAAUGGCCGUGACAAAGAGUUGCUACUUUGUGAAAACAAGCUAAUCUCAUAAACGCGGACCUC